GAGAAGACCCUAUGGAGCUUCAAACCCAACUACACCCCUAACUCUAUAGCCCCUCAACCACACUGGCCCCUGUAUAGUUGAUUUUAGGUUGGGGCGACCACGGAGUAAAACAAAACCUCCAUAAUGAACGGGCCUACCCCCUUAUCUAAGAACCACACCCCCUAAGAAUUAGAAUACUAACAUAAAAUGAUCCAUUAUUUGAUUAAUGAACCAAGUUACCCUAGGGAUAACAGCGCAAUCCAUUUCGAGAGCCCAUAUCGACAAAU
Molecule: ribosomal RNA, 266 nt
Filed under: Mantidactylus sp. 9 MV-2009
Lineage: Eukaryota; Metazoa; Chordata; Amphibia; Anura; Mantellidae
Description: partial 16S ribosomal RNA
Source: RNAcentral